GACGAACGCUGGCGGCGUGCUUAACACAUGCAAGUCGAACGGUAAGGCCCUUCGGGUACACGAGUGGCGAACGGGUGAGUAACACGUGGGUGAUCUGCCCUGCACUUCGGGAUAAGCCUGGGAAACUGGGUCUAAUACCGGAUAGGACUCCUGGCUUCGUGGUUGGGGUGUAAAGCUUUUGCGGUGUGGGAUGGGCCCGCGGCCUAUCAGCUUGUUGGUGGGGUAAUGGCCUACCAAGGCGACGACGGGUAGCCGGCCUGAGAGGGUGACCGGCCACACUGGGACUGAGAUACGGCCCAGACUCCUACGGGAGGCAGCAGUGGGGAAUAUUGCACAAUGGGCGCAAGCCUGAUGCAGCGACGCCGCGUGAGGGAUGACGGCC
This 382-nucleotide ribosomal RNA is filed under the name uncultured bacterium. Its description in RNAcentral is "bacterial SSU rRNA". It matches the Rfam family "Bacterial small subunit ribosomal RNA", at positions 28 to 416 of the family's 1533-position model. The record is from RNAcentral.